RNAcentral lists this ribosomal RNA (439 nucleotides) under uncultured marine bacterium. RNAcentral's name for it is "bacterial SSU rRNA". It matches the Rfam family "Bacterial small subunit ribosomal RNA", at positions 41 to 526 of the family's 1533-position model. The record is from RNAcentral.
GGCAGGCCUAACACAUGCAAGUCGAGCGCUACCUUCGGGUGGAGCGGCGGACGGGUUAGUAACGCGUGGGAACGUACCCAGAUCUAAGGAAUAGCCACUGGAAACGGUGAGUAAUACCUUAUACGCCCUUCGGGGGAAAGAUUUAUCGGAUUUGGAUCGGCCCGCGUUAGAUUAGAUAGUUGGUGGGGUAAUGGCCUACCAAGUCUACGAUCUAUAGCUGGUUUUAGAGGAUGAUCAGCAACACUGGGACUGAGACACGGCCCAGACUCCUACGGGAGGCAGCAGUGGGGAAUCUUGGACAAUGGGCGCAAGCCUGAUCCAGCCAUGCCGCGUGAGUGAUGAAGGCCUUAGGGUCGUAAAGCUCUUUCGCCAGAGAUGAUAAUGACAGUAUCUGGUAAAGAAACCCCGGCUAACUCCGUGCCAGCAGCCGCGGUAAUAC